This 262-nucleotide ribosomal RNA is filed under the name uncultured archaeon. Its description in RNAcentral is "partial 16S ribosomal RNA". It matches the Rfam family "Archaeal small subunit ribosomal RNA", at positions 748 to 1009 of the family's 1478-position model. The record is from RNAcentral.
AGGGUGUAAACGCUGCAGACUUGGUGUUGGAGGCCCUUUGGGGGCAUUCAGUGCCGGAGAGAAGUUGUUAAGUCUGCUACUUGGGGAGUACGUCCGCAAGGAUGAAACUUAAAGGAAUUGGCGGGGGAGCACCGCAACGGGAGGAGCGUGCGGUUUAAUUGGAUUCAACACCGUAAAACUCACCAGGGAAGACUGUUACAUGAAGGCCGAGAUGAAGACUCUGCUAGAUUUUCAGAGAGGUGGUGCAAUGGCGUCAGUGACU